UACGUAGGGGGCAAGCGUUGUCCGGAAUGAUUGGGCGUAAAGGGCUCGUAGGUGGCCUGUCAAGUCUGGAGUGAAAGUCCUAUUUUUAAGGUGGGAGUUGCUUUGGAAACUGAUAGGCUUGAGUGUAGGAGUGGUUAGUGGAAUUCCUAGUGUAGCGGUGAAAUGCGUAGAGAUUAGGAGGAACAUCAGUGGCGAAGGCGACUAACUGGACUAAAACUGACACUGAGGAGCGAAAGUGUGGGUAGCAAAC
RNAcentral lists this ribosomal RNA (250 nucleotides) under uncultured prokaryote. RNAcentral describes it as "partial 16S ribosomal RNA". It matches the Rfam family "Bacterial small subunit ribosomal RNA", at positions 524 to 773 of the family's 1533-position model. The record is from RNAcentral.